Molecule: ribosomal RNA, 453 nt
Filed under: uncultured bacterium
Lineage: Bacteria
Description: partial 16S ribosomal RNA
Rfam family: Bacterial small subunit ribosomal RNA
Source: RNAcentral
GAUGAACGCUGGCGGUCUGCUUAACACAUGCAGGUCGAACGGAAUCCUUCGGGAUUUAGUGGCGGACGGGUGAGUAACGCGUGAGAAUCUGCCUUCAGGUUCGGGACAACAGCUGGAAACGGCUGCUAAUACCGGAUGUGCCGAGCGGUGAAAGCUUUAGUGCCUGAAGAUGAGCUAGCGUCUGAUUAGGUAGUAGGAGUGGUAAUGGCACCCCUAGGCGACGAUCAGUAGCUGGUCUGAGAGGAUGAUCAGCCACACUGGGACUGAGACACGGCCCAGACUCCUACGGGAGGCAGCAGUGGGGAAUUUUCCGCAAUGGGCGCAAGCCUGACGGAGCAAGACCGCGUGAGGGAAGAAGGUCUGUGGAUUGUAAACCUCUUUUGAUGGGGAAGAAGACAGUGACGGUACCCAUCGAAUCAGCCUCGGCUAACUCCGUGCCAGCCGCCGCGGUAA